AGUGAACGCUGGCGGUAGGCCUAACACAUGCAAGUCGAACGGCAGCACAGUAAGAGCUUGCUCUUACGGGUGGCGAGUGGCGGACGGGUGAGGAAUACAUCGGAAUCUACUUUUUCGUGGGGGAUAACGUAGGGAAACUUACGCUAAUACCGCAUACGACCUACGGGUGAAAGCAGGGGAUCUUCGGCCCUUGCGCGAUUGAAUGAGCCGAUGUCGGAUUAGCUAGUUGGCGGGGUAAAGGCCCACCAAGGCGACGAUCCGUAGCUGGUCUGAGAGGAUGAUCAGCCACACAGGAACUGAGACACGGUCCAGACUCCUACGGGAGGCAGCAGUGGGGAAUAUUGGACAAUGGGCGCAAGCCUGAUCCAGCCAUACCGCGUGGGUGAAGAAGGCCUUCGGGUUGUAAAGCCCUUUUGUUGGGAAAGAAAAGCAGCAGGUUAAUACCCCGCUGUUCUGACGGUACCCAAAGAAUAAGCACCGGCUAACUUCGUG
Molecule: ribosomal RNA, 492 nt
Filed under: uncultured bacterium
Lineage: Bacteria
Description: partial 16S ribosomal RNA
Rfam family: Bacterial small subunit ribosomal RNA
Source: RNAcentral